RNAcentral lists this ribosomal RNA (315 nucleotides) under uncultured prokaryote. RNAcentral describes it as "bacterial SSU rRNA". It matches the Rfam family "Bacterial small subunit ribosomal RNA", at positions 26 to 337 of the family's 1533-position model. The record is from RNAcentral.
AGAUUGAACGCUGGCGGCAUGCCUAACACAUGCAAGUCGAGCGGCAGCGCGGGGGCGACCCUGGCGGCGAGCGGCGGACGGGUGAGUAAGGCAUCGGAAUCUGCCCUGAUGUGGGGGAUAACGUAGGGAAACUUACGCUAAUACCGCAUACGACCGAGAGGUGAAAGCGGGGGACCGGAAACGGACCUCGCGCAGCAGGAUGAGCCGAUGUCCGAUUAGCUGGUUGGUUGGGGUAACGGCCCGACCAACGGCGACGAUCGGUAGCUGGUCUGAGAGGAUGAUCAGCCACACUGGGACUGAGACACGGCCCAGACU